RNAcentral lists this ribosomal RNA (652 nucleotides) under Arthrobacter sp. ACT4OB. RNAcentral describes it as "bacterial SSU rRNA". It matches the Rfam family "Bacterial small subunit ribosomal RNA", at positions 18 to 683 of the family's 1533-position model. RNAcentral also lists the same sequence under 1 other name. The record is from RNAcentral. Lineage: Bacteria; Bacillati; Actinomycetota; Actinomycetes; Micrococcales; Micrococcaceae.
CCUGGCUCAGGAUGAACGCUGGCGGCGUGCUUAACACAUGCAAGUCGAACGAUGAUCCUCAGCUUGCUGGGGGGAUUAGUGGCGAACGGGUGAGUAACACGUGAGUAACCUGCCCUUGACUCUGGGAUAAGCCUGGGAAACUGGGUCUAAUACCGGAUAUGACUCCUCAUCGCAUGGUGGGGGGUGGAAAGCUUUUGUGGUUUUGGAUGGACUCGCGGCCUAUCAGCUUGUUGGUGGGGUAAUGGCCUACCAAGGCGAUGACGGGUAGCCGGCCUGAGAGGGUGACCGGCCACACUGGGACUGAGACACGGCCCAGACUCCUACGGGAGGCAGCAGUGGGGAAUAUUGCACAAUGGGCGGAAGCCUGAUGCAGCGACGCCGCGUGAGGGAUGACGGCCUUCGGGUUGUAAACCUCUUUCAGUAGGGAAGAAGCGUAAGUGACGGUACCUGCAGAAGAAGCGCCGGCUAACUACGUGCCAGCAGCCGCGGUAAUACGUAGGGCGCAAGCGUUAUCCGGAAUUAUUGGGCGUAAAGAGCUCGUAGGCGGUUUGUCGCGUCUGCUGUGAAAGACCGGGGCUCAACUCCGGUUCUGCAGUGGGUACGGGCAGACUAGAGUGAUGUAGGGGAGACUGGAAUUCCUGGUGUAGCGGUG